GCGGUGGCUUACCAUGCAAGUCGAGCGAAACGAAGGUAGCUUGCUACGGUGAGUAGAGCGGCGGACGGGUGAGUAACGCGUAGGAAUUUGCCCAGUAGUGGGGGACAACAUGUGGAAACGCAUGCUAAUACCGCAUACGCCCUAUGGGGGAAAGCAGGGGAUCUUCGGACCUCACGCUAUUAGAUGGGCCUGCGUAAGAUUAGCUAGUUGGUGGGGUAAUGGCCUACCAAGGCGACGAUCUUUAGCUGGUUUGAGAGGAUGAUCAGCCACACUGGGACUGAGACACGGCCCAGACUCCUACGGGAGGCAGCAGUGGGGAAUAUUGCACAAUGGGCGCAAGCCUGAUGCAGCCAUGCCGCGUGUGUGAAGAAGGCCUUCGGGUUGUAAAGCACUUUCAGCAGUGAGGAAAGGUUGCAAAUUAAUACUUUGUAGCUGUGACGUUAACUGCAGAAGAAGCACCGGCUAACUCCGUGCCAGCAGCCGCGGUAAUACGGAGGGUGCGAGCGUUAAUCGGAAUUACUGGGCGUAAAGCGUGCGUAGGCGGUUUGUUAAGCAAGAUGUGAAAGCCCAGGGCUCAACCUUGGAACUGCAUUUUGAACUGGUAGACUAGAGUACUGUAGAGGGUGGUGGAAUUUAGAGUGUAGCGGUGAAAUGCGUAGAUAUUCGAAGGAACACCAGUGGCGAAGGCGGCUUUCUGGACCGAUACUGACGCUGAGAUGCGAAAGCGUGGGUAGCAAACAGGAUUAGAUACCCUGGUAGUCCAUGCCGUAAACGAUGUCAACUAGCCGUUGGAAGACUUGAUCUUUUAGUGGCGCAGCUAACGCAAUAAGUUGACCGCCUGGGGAGUACGGCCGCAAGGUUAAAACUCAAAUGAAUUGACGGGGGCCCGCACAAGCGGUGGAGCAUGUGGUUUAAUUCGACGCAACGCGAAGAACCUUACCUACUCUUGACAUCCUCAGAACUUAGCAGAGAUGCUUUGGUGCCUUUGGGAACUGAGUGACAGGUGCUGCAUGGCUGUCGUCAGCUCGUGUUGUGAAAUGUUGGGUUAAGUCCCGUAACGAGCGCAACCCUUGUCCUUACUUGCCAGCACGUAAUGUGGGGACUAUAAGGAGACUGCCGGUGACAAACCGGAGGAAGGUGGGGACGACGUCAAGUCAUCAUGGCCCUUAUGAGUAGGGCUACACACGUGCUACAAUGGCCGGUACAGAGGGCAGCAAGACCGCGAGGUGGAGCAAAUCCCAGAAAGCUGGUCGUAGUCCGGAUUGGAGUCUGCAACUCGACUCCAUGAAGUCGGAAUCGAUAGUAAUCGCGAAUCAGAAUGUCGCGGUGAAUACGUUCCCGGGCCUUGUACACACCGCCCGUCACACCAUGGGAGUGGGUUGCACCAGAAGUGGCUAGUCUAACCUUCGGGAGGACGAUCACCACGGUG
This 1429-nucleotide ribosomal RNA is filed under the name uncultured prokaryote. Its description in RNAcentral is "partial 16S ribosomal RNA". It matches the Rfam family "Bacterial small subunit ribosomal RNA". The record is from RNAcentral.